RNAcentral lists this small nucleolar RNA (193 nucleotides) under Chinchilla lanigera (long-tailed chinchilla). RNAcentral's name for it is "Small nucleolar RNA SNORA73 family (ENSCLAG00000019938.1)". It matches the Rfam family "Small nucleolar RNA SNORA73 family". Rfam says of the family: U17 (SNORA73A and SNORA73B) also known as E1 belongs to the H/ACA class of small nucleolar RNAs (snoRNAs). Vertebrate U17 is intron-encoded and ranges in length from 200-230 nucleotides, longer than most snoRNAs. It is one of the most abundant snoRNAs in human cells and is essential for the cleavage of pre-rRNA within the 5' external transcribed spacer (ETS). Lineage: Eukaryota; Metazoa; Chordata; Mammalia; Rodentia; Chinchillidae. The record is from Rfam by way of RNAcentral.
CCAACCUAGACACCCCAGGUCACUCUCCCUGAGCUCUAUCCAGAUGAUAUAAGGGAGCACAGGGCUUUGUCCCAUAGUGUGCAGCUCUUUUCCACAGUGCUGGAGGAGGAACAGGGACUUGUGCCGGAACCUGCUGACACAACUUCUCACAGUCCUUUGGGCAGUUACUGAGAAGACAACCCAGAAAACAGUG